GAAUUACGCUGCAGUAGCCCCGAGAUCUGCAGCCAGAAAAGUAGCCGCGUGUGAUUCCAGCGGAGCCAUCGCAGUGGAGAAUGAGCCCGUGGGGCUUUGAAAUUUCUUUUUUUUAAUUGAUGCUGUUGCUGAUAGCGAGGCUCCUUCCUUGGCAAAAUCUCCGGUGUCUCCAGAGGGUAGCCUUGCUUGUCUUCAUUUCUGGAGGAUAGCUUCAGUCUUGCUGCUUGGAUGGAAAAUUGUUCAGGUAACUUCCAUUGGUGAUUAUUCUGCUCCAGGGCAUCUGUAUGCAAUACAUACUGGGAUUUUGGAAGUAAACGUACCUCCUGUGGACUUUUUUUCUUUCUUUUAAAAGCAAGUCUGGUGUGUCGGAGAAAAUCGUGGUGUGAUCAUGUUGUCUUUUAGCCCAAAGUGAAAAACUGUUGGAAUCAGAUGGGCCAGCCAAGACUUCUGUGACUAUAGAGCAUGGACCCAAACUGGCUUACAUCAUUCUCCUCUCCUUCAUUUUAUUUUGACAACAAGCUUGCAAGAUUAGACUGAGUUUGUGAUUGUACCCUGGUCACCCAACAAACUCCCAUGGCAGAGUCAGGAUCUGAACUUGGGUCUCUUACUGGUAGAUCCUGAUACUCCAACCCCUACACCACCCUGGCAUGUGAAGUGUUCUGUAAUGUUUAUUUUAUUUAGCUUGCAACAAAAAAAAUAUAUUGUUUGCCGAGCAGUCAUCCUGUGAGAUGGAUCAAUAGAAAGAAUGGACUCAGAACAGUGGCAGAAAGAUGUGACGAGUUGACCCAAGCUACCCAGUGGCAGAGCAAGGAUCUGACCAGGAUCAUGUCAGAUCAAAGCUUGAUAUGCACAUUCCUUCCUGGAUCAGGAAUCUCAUGCACAACCUGGAAGCAGAAGGAGGCGUGUCUUGGGGCAUAGCAUCUGAUGUGACCCCAUCUGCACCACAGACGGUGUUGAAAAUGUACUUCUCAUCCAUCUUGCAGUGUAAGGUGAUGUUCCAUACUUUUUUUUAAACAUGGGUCACUAGUUGUGCAUUAACAACUUCAAGGCUGCUUUUGGUCACACAGGGAUUUUAUUGCUGUAUUCAGUUCCCACAAUAUCUGUGCCCUUUAAUUUAGGCUGCUCAAAGUGAGCAAUAGGCACUAACAAUCCCAGUCCAAAAUAUUUUACAUCCAAAUAAACAUUGUACCUUGAAA
Long non-coding RNA from Sphaerodactylus townsendi, 1196 nucleotides. RefSeq lists it as uncharacterized. The transcript is spliced from 3 exons. The record is from RefSeq and is a predicted model, not a curated record. Lineage: Eukaryota; Metazoa; Chordata; Lepidosauria; Squamata; Sphaerodactylidae.